This 205-nucleotide microRNA precursor is filed under the name Oryza barthii. RNAcentral describes it as "MIR812 microRNA precursor family". It matches the Rfam family "MIR812 microRNA precursor family". Lineage: Eukaryota; Viridiplantae; Streptophyta; Magnoliopsida; Poales; Poaceae. The record is from Rfam by way of RNAcentral.
AAAAAGACAAACCCUGGUUUCCGUGCCUAACGUUUGACCGUCCGUCUUAUUUAAAAAAAUUAUGAAAAAAAAUUAAAAAUACAAGUCACGCAUAAAAUAUUAAUCAUAUUUUAUCAUCUAACAACAAUAAAAAUACGAAUUAUAAGAAAAUUCAUAUAAGACGGACAGUCAAAGUUGGACACGGAAACCCAGGGUUUGCCUUUUU